CAAUAGCGUAUAUUAAAGUUGUUGCAGUUAAAAAGCUCGUAGUUGGACCUUGGACCUGGACAGGCGGUCCGCCUCACGGCGAGUACUGUCUUGCUGGGUCUUUCCUCUUGGUGACCUGUUGUUUCGGCAGCAGGGAACCAGGACCUUUACUUUGAAAAAAUUAGAGUGUUCAAAGCAGGCUCGACGCCGGAAUAUAUUAGCAUGGAAUAAUAAAAUAGGACGUGCGGUUCUAUUUUGUUGGUUUUUGGAAUCGCCGUAAUGAUUAAUAGGGACAGUCGGGGGCAUUAGUACUCACAUGCUAGAGGUGAAAUUCUUGGAUUUUGUGAAGACUAACUUCUGCGAAAGCAUUUGCCAAGGAUGUUUUCAUUAA
RNAcentral lists this ribosomal RNA (370 nucleotides) under uncultured eukaryote. RNAcentral describes it as "partial 18S ribosomal RNA". It matches the Rfam family "Eukaryotic small subunit ribosomal RNA", at positions 592 to 976 of the family's 1831-position model. The record is from RNAcentral.